AGCUUCCCUCCCAUGGGGCUGUGGUGGGUUAGGGUACCGGACCCUAUUCUCCCCAGCCAGGGCUGGAGGUCACGAUCAGCUGUUGAAGAGCACCUUGAGACGGCCCAGAGCUGAGCAGUCUAGUUUUCUUACCGCAGACAUGG
This is a small nucleolar RNA of Tupaia belangeri (northern tree shrew), 143 nucleotides long. NCBI's taxonomy places the organism in Eukaryota, Metazoa, Chordata, Mammalia, Scandentia, Tupaiidae. The record is from Ensembl.